GUGCUUGCUUCAGCAGCAGGCAGCACGUAUACUAAAAUUGGAACCAUACAGAGAAGAUUAGCAUGGCCCCUCCACAAGGAUGACACUCAAAUUCAUGAAGUGUUCUGUAUUUUA
This is a non-coding RNA of Ailuropoda melanoleuca (giant panda), 114 nucleotides long. The record is from Rfam. NCBI's taxonomy places the organism in Eukaryota, Metazoa, Chordata, Mammalia, Carnivora, Ursidae.